Long non-coding RNA from Gorilla gorilla gorilla (western lowland gorilla), 504 nucleotides. RefSeq lists it as uncharacterized. The transcript is spliced from 2 exons. The record is from RefSeq and is a predicted model, not a curated record. NCBI's taxonomy places the organism in Eukaryota, Metazoa, Chordata, Mammalia, Primates, Hominidae.
CCAUCCCUGGAAAAGAGACACAGGCCAUGGUCCUUAAGUGGAGAAUAAAACCCAGGCUAGACAUGGAAGACCAGACUUGAACAUCUGGAUGAUCUUGCAGUGGACUGAGGCUGGGAAGACAUAAUAAUCUAGGAACCACCUGUCUGAGAGACCAAAGGGCCUUGUUAUGCUCUAUGUCUUCCUGCCUGCCUUCUAACGAGGAAGGCCUGCUGCAGCAUCCUGAGGUGCGGGCUACAACAGAAAUGCUUUUGGUCUUGGGGCAACCGUCACUUGUCUCCAUGUUCUGGAGGCUGGCUUGAUAUGGAAGAAGACAAUGACUCCCCUUCCCAGGAAAAGGGCGUUUGUUGCCUACCAAUGAAGGAUGGCUGGAACAGGGUCUCUGGGCAGCGGAAACGUUCAUUUCCGAUGGUGAUCACUUGCCCAUCAGGCAACUCGUAACUCUUCUCAAGGGAGGAUGAGGAUGCGGCAGUGGCCAUCUCAUUUUCAAAGUCCAGAGCUACAUAA